UACGUAGGGGGCAAGCGUUGUCCGGAUUUAUUGGGCGUAAAGAGCGUGUAGGCGGCUUUACAGGUCCGUUGUGAAAACUCGAGGCUCAACCUCGAGACGCCGGUGGAAACCGUAAGGCUAGAGUCCGGAAGAGGAGAGUGGAAUUCCUGGUGUAGCGGUGAAAUGCGCAGAUAUCAGGAGGAACACCCGUGGCGAAGGCGACUACCUGGCCUGUUCUUGACGCUGAGGCGCGAAAGCUAGGGGAGCAAACGGG
Molecule: ribosomal RNA, 253 nt
Filed under: uncultured bacterium
Lineage: Bacteria
Description: partial 16S ribosomal RNA
Rfam family: Bacterial small subunit ribosomal RNA
Source: RNAcentral